GGGGUAUAAUGCUACUUUUACCAGAGCCAUUUCUACCCACAAGUGCCACUGUUUUCUUGGCGGGGACAGUUAGGUAAAAUCCACUUAAAAUAGGAAUUUCGGGACGAGAUAAGUAACUGAAAUACACGUUUCGAAAUUCGAUGUUCCCUUGGACGGUAGCAAGAGUGUUUCCGUUAUGAUCAACGGCGGAGGAUGAACGACUAAUCAUUUCGAAAAGUCGAUACGCAGCAAUUCUUCCUUGCUCAAAUGAAUAGAAGUUGGUUGCAGCUUGGCCACUUAAAAUGAUAGCAAACAAAGCGGUUAUAAUUUCUCCACCGUGAGCUUUCCUAUGUGUAACCAAAAACCGUCCAACGUAAAGUUGCAAGGCGCAAGAGCAGAUCGCAAGCCCGUACGUGAAUCCAAGCCCAAGUCCUUGCACAAGACUAAUUAAUAUACCAUAUCUUAGUGUAGCUUGUAGUGAAUUAGCAUAAGAAUACUUUGCUAAUGUUUCAUUUGUA
This 497-nucleotide long non-coding RNA is filed under the name Helianthus annuus (common sunflower). RNAcentral describes it as "sRNA HanXRQr2_Chr14g0664011". Lineage: Eukaryota; Viridiplantae; Streptophyta; Magnoliopsida; Asterales; Asteraceae. The record is from RNAcentral.